AGACCCCGGUACAUUCUCAAUGUACAUCGAUAGAUUUGCAACUCAACAUGAACUUCACUACAAGGU
This 66-nucleotide transfer RNA is filed under the name Pterocles namaqua (Namaqua sandgrouse). RNAcentral describes it as "tRNA-Cys". The record is from RNAcentral. Lineage: Eukaryota; Metazoa; Chordata; Aves; Pterocliformes; Pteroclidae.